Molecule: long non-coding RNA, 165 nt
Organism: Triticum dicoccoides
Lineage: Eukaryota; Viridiplantae; Streptophyta; Magnoliopsida; Poales; Poaceae
Exons: 2
Source: RefSeq, a predicted model, not a curated record
UGCAUCUGAUGUGGAAGUUUUGUAUCGUCCGUAUUUUGCUGCUGGUUGGUUGUCUGGUUCCUCGCGUGGACCGACUCCUUCUGUUCUUCCUACACCUGUUGUUAGUCGUGUUGAUGCUGUUUGGAAUCGUCGGAAGCGAAGGAUUCUUCAAGAUUAUUACACUGG